UUUUGAGGAUUAUCAUUCAAUUCAGUUCUUAUUCUCAUAAUUUCGUCUUCACUCUAUCAAUUUGGUGCGGUGAGCGUGGAAUCCUAUGGCGACGAAUAAGGAACGGAUUGAACAGGUAGAGAAGACGGUAGAGGAAGUGCAGGCGGCAGUUGGCGGAUUGGAGAAUUCGAUGGCUACCAUGCAGAAAACCCUAGCCGCUAUUUUGGCUAAACUAUCAGACAAGGAAAGUUCAAGCAGCUCGGAUAGUAGCGGGGAAUCAGGUAAGCAUCAUACUUCAGACACAACCUCACCACGGAUGGAUUUA
RNAcentral lists this long non-coding RNA (304 nucleotides) under Salvia miltiorrhiza (redroot sage). Its description in RNAcentral is "long non-coding RNA (SMIL_LNC010790)". The record is from RNAcentral. Lineage: Eukaryota; Viridiplantae; Streptophyta; Magnoliopsida; Lamiales; Lamiaceae.